CAGUCACACGAGUUUGAUCCUGGCUCAGGAUGAACGCUAGCGGGAGGCCUAAUACAUGCAAGUCGAGCGGUAGAAUGACUUCGGUUGUUUGAGAGCGGCGAACGGGUGAGUAACGCGUACACAAUCUACCUUUAAGAGGGGAAUAGCCCUGGGAAACUGGGAUUAAUGCCCCAUGGCAUCACGGGAUGGCAUCGUUUUGUGAUUAAAGCUGAGGUGCUUAAAGAUGAGUGUGCGUCUGAUUAGCUAGUUGGUACGGUAACGGCGUACCAAGGCGACGAUCAGUAGGGGGCGUGAGAGCGUGGACCCCCCACACGGGUACUGAGACACGGACCCGACUCCUACGGGAGGCAGCAGUAAGGAAUAUUGGACAAUGGCCGCAAGGCUGAUCCAGCCAUGCCGCGUGCAGGAAGACGGACCUAUGGUUUGUAAACUGCUUUUGAACGGGAGAAAACCCCCCUACGUGUAGGGGGCUGAUAGUACUGUUAGAAUAAGCAUCGGCUAACUUCGUAG
RNAcentral lists this ribosomal RNA (510 nucleotides) under uncultured bacterium. Its description in RNAcentral is "bacterial SSU rRNA". It matches the Rfam family "Bacterial small subunit ribosomal RNA", at positions 1 to 508 of the family's 1533-position model. The record is from RNAcentral.